UACGUAGGGGCCGAGCGUUGUCCGGAGUUACUGGGCGUAAAGCGCGCGCAGGCGGCUGGUCAAGCCCGACGUGAAAGCCCCCGGCUCAACCGGGGAGGGUCGUCGGGGACUGGCCGGCUUGAGGGCGGCAGGGGCUGGUGGAAUUCCCGGUGUAGUGGUGAAAUGCGUAGAGAUCGGGAGGAACACCCGUGGCGAAGGCGGCCAGCUGGGCCGACCCUGACGCUGAGGCGCGAAGGCGUGGGGAGCGAACGGG
This 253-nucleotide ribosomal RNA is filed under the name uncultured bacterium. RNAcentral describes it as "partial 16S ribosomal RNA". It matches the Rfam family "Bacterial small subunit ribosomal RNA", at positions 524 to 776 of the family's 1533-position model. The record is from RNAcentral.